Molecule: ribosomal RNA, 516 nt
Filed under: uncultured bacterium
Lineage: Bacteria
Description: bacterial SSU rRNA
Rfam family: Bacterial small subunit ribosomal RNA
Source: RNAcentral
ACGAACGCUGGCGGCGUGCCUAAUACAUGCAAGUCGAACGGUCUUUCUAUGGAAGCUUGCUUCCACUGAGAAGAUAGUGGCGAACGGGUGAGUAACACGUGGGUAACCUGCCCAUAAGAGGGGGAUAACAUCCGGAAACGGGUGCUAAUACUGCAUAGUUUUCUUGAUCGCAUGAUUGAGAAAGGAAAGACGGCCUUUGUGCUGUCGCUUAUGGAUGGACCCGCGGCGUAUUAGUUAGUUGGUGAGGUAACGGCUCACCAAGACGAUGAUACGUAGCCGACCUGAGAGGGUGAUCGGCCACAUUGGGACUGAGACACGGCCCAAACUCCUACGGGAGGCAGCAGUAGGGAAUCUUCCGCAAUGGACGAAAGUCUGACGGAGCAACGCCGCGUGAGUGAAGAAGGUUUUCGGAAUCGUAAAACUCUGUUGUCAGAGAAGAACAAGUUGGAGAGUAACUGCUCCAGCCUUGACGGUAUCUGACCAGAAAGCCACGGCUAACUACGUGCCAGCAGCAGC